GGAGAGAUGGCUGAGUGGUUCAUAGCUCCGGUUAUGAAAACCGGUACAGUUCGAAACAAAUAAUUAUCGAAGGUUUGAAUCCCUCUCUCUUCU
Molecule: transfer RNA, 93 nt
Organism: Gossypium raimondii (Peruvian cotton)
Lineage: Eukaryota; Viridiplantae; Streptophyta; Magnoliopsida; Malvales; Malvaceae
Rfam family: tRNA
About the family: Transfer RNA (tRNA) molecules are approximately 80 nucleotides in length. Their secondary structure includes four short double-helical elements and three loops (D, anti-codon, and T loops).
Source: Rfam